RNAcentral lists this ribosomal RNA (740 nucleotides) under bacterium B13. RNAcentral describes it as "bacterial SSU rRNA". It matches the Rfam family "Bacterial small subunit ribosomal RNA", at positions 74 to 795 of the family's 1533-position model. The record is from RNAcentral.
CUGGGAACACCGGAAAAAGAAGGAGUGGGGAACUUCCUGAGUAACACGUGGGUAACCUGCCCAUCAGAAGGGGAUAACACUUGGAAACAGGUGCUAAUACCGUAUAACAAUCGAAACCGCAUGGUUUUGAUUUGAAAGGCGCUUUCGGGUGUCGCUGAUGGAUGGACCCGCGGUGCAUUAGCUAGUUGGUGAGGUAACGGCUCACCAAGGCUACGAUGCAUAGCCGACCUGAGAGGGUGAUCGGCCACAUUGGGACUGAGACACGGCCCAAACUCCUACGGGAGGCAGCAGUAGGGAAUCUUCGGCAAUGGACGAAAGUCUGACCGAGCAACGCCGCGUGAGUGAAAAAGGUUUUCGGAUCGUAAAACUCUGUUGUUAGAGAAGAACAAGGAUGAGAGUAACUGUUCAUCCCUUGACGGUAUCUAACCAGAAAGCCACGGGUAACUACGUGCCAGCAGCCGCGGUAAUACGUAGGUGGCAAGCGUUGUCCGGAUUUAUUGGGCGUAAAGCGAGCGCAGGCGGUUUCUUAAGUCUGAUGUGAAAGCCCCCGGCUCAACCGGGGAGGGUCAUUGGAAACUGGGAGACUUGAGUGCAGAAGAGGAGAGUGGAAUUCCAUGUGUAGCGGGGAAAUGCGUAAAUAUAUGGAGGAACACCAGUGGCGGAAAGCGGCUCUCUGGUCUGUAACUGACGCUGAGGCUCGAAAGCGUGGGGAGCAAACAGGAUUAUAUACCCUGGUAGUC